GGGAGGCAGCAGUGGGGAAUUUUGGACAAUGGGGGAAACCCUGAUCCAGCCAUCCCGCGUGUGCGAUGAAGGCCUUCGGGUUGUAAAGCACUUUUGGCAGGAAAGAAACGUCAUGGGUUAAUACCCCGUGAAACCGACGGUACCUGCAGAAUAAGCACCGGCUAACUACGUGCCAGCAGCCGCGGUAAUACGUAGGGUGCAAGCGUUAAUCGGAAUUACUGGGCGUAAAGCGUGCGCAGGCGGUUCGGAAAGAAAGAUGUGAAAUCCCAGAGCUUAACUUUGGAACUGCAUUUUUAACUACCGGGCUAGAGUGUGUCAGAGGGAGGUGGAAUUCCGCGUGUAGCAGUGAAAUGCGUAGAUAUGCGGAGGAACACCGAUGGCGAAGGCAGCCUCCUGGGAUAACACUGACGCUCAUGCACGAAAGCGUGGGGAGCAAACAGGAUUAGAUACCCUGGUAGUCCACGCCCUAAACGAUGUCAACUAGCUGUUGGGGCCUUCGGGCCUUGGUAGCGCAGCUAACGCGUGAAGUUGACCGCCUGGGGAGUACGGUCGCAAGAUUAAAACUCAAAUGAAUUGACGG
This 580-nucleotide ribosomal RNA is filed under the name uncultured beta proteobacterium. Its description in RNAcentral is "bacterial SSU rRNA". It matches the Rfam family "Bacterial small subunit ribosomal RNA", at positions 343 to 916 of the family's 1533-position model. The record is from RNAcentral. Lineage: Bacteria; Pseudomonadati; Pseudomonadota; Betaproteobacteria.